Molecule: ribosomal RNA, 253 nt
Filed under: uncultured bacterium
Lineage: Bacteria
Description: partial 16S ribosomal RNA
Rfam family: Bacterial small subunit ribosomal RNA
Source: RNAcentral
UACAUGGGGGGCAAACGUUGCUCGGAAUUACUGGGCGUAAAGCGCAUGUAGGCGGCAGCGCAAGUCGGGCGUGAAAUCCCACGGCUCAACCGUGGAAGUGCACUCGAAACUGCGCAGCUAGAGUCCUGGAGAGGAAGGUGGAAUGCUUGGUGUAGAGGUGAAAUUCGUAGAUAUCAAGCGGAACACCGGUGGCGAAGGCGGCCUUCUGGACAGUGACUGACGCUGAGAUGCGAAAGCGUGGGGAGCAAACAGG